RNAcentral lists this ribosomal RNA (874 nucleotides) under Curvularia moringae. Its description in RNAcentral is "partial large subunit ribosomal RNA". It matches the Rfam family "Eukaryotic large subunit ribosomal RNA", at positions 60 to 952 of the family's 3401-position model. Lineage: Eukaryota; Fungi; Ascomycota; Dothideomycetes; Pleosporales; Pleosporaceae. The record is from RNAcentral.
AGAAACCAACAGGGAUUGCCCUAGUAACGGCGAGUGAAGCGGCAACAGCUCAAAUUUGAAAUCUGGCUCUUUCAGAGUCCGAGUUGUAAUUUGCAGAGGGCGCUUUGGCUUUGGCAGCGGUCCAAGUUCCUUGGAACAGGACGUCACAGAGGGUGAGAAUCCCGUACGUGGUCGCUAGCUAUUGCCGUGUAAAGCCCCUUCGACGAGUCGAGUUGUUUGGGAAUGCAGCUCUAAAUGGGAGGUAAAUUUCUUCUAAAGCUAAAUAUUGGCCAGAGACCGAUAGCGCACAAGUAGAGUGAUCGAAAGAUGAAAAGCACUUUGGAAAGAGAGUCAAACAGCACGUGAAAUUGUUGAAAGGGAAGCGCUUGCAGCCAGACUUGCUUGCAGUUGCUCAUCCGGGCUUUUGCCCGGUGCACUCUUCUGUAGGCAGGCCAGCAUCAGUUUGGGCGGUGGGAUAAAGGUCUCUGUCACGUACCUCUCUUCGGGGAGGCCUUAUAGGGGAGACGACAUACCACCAGCCUAGACUGAGGUCCGCGCAUCUGCUAGGAUGCUGGCGUAAUGGCUGUAAGCGGCCCGUCUUGAAACACGGACCAAGGAGUCUAACAUCUAUGCGAGUGUUUGGGUGUCAAGCCCGAGCGCGUAAUGAAAGUGAACGGAGGUGGGAACCCGCAAGGGUGCACCAUCGACCGAUCCUGAAGUUUACGGAAGGAUUUGAGUAAGAGCAUGGCUGUUGGGACCCGAAAGAUGGUGAACUAUGCUUGAAUAGGGUGAAGCCAGAGGAAACUCUGGUGGAGGCUCGCAGCGGUUCUGACGUGCAAAUCGAUCGUCAAAUUUGGGCAUAGGGGCGAAAGACUAAUCGAACUAUCUAGUAGCU